CCUACGGGUGGCAGCAGUAGGGAAUCUUCCACAAUGGGCGCAAGCCUGAUCCAGCAACGCCGCGUGAGUGAAGAAGGCUUUCGGCUCGUAAAGCUCUGUUGUUGGAGAAGAAAGUGCGUGAGAGUAACUGUUCACGCAGUGACGGUAUCCAACCAGAAAGUCACGGCUAACUACGUGCCAGCAGCCGCGGUAAUACGUAGGAGGCAAGCGUUAUCCGGAUUUGUUGGGCGUAAAGCGAGCGCAGGCGGUCGCUUAGGUCUGAUGUGAAAGCCUUAGGCUUAACCGAAGAAGUGCAUCUGAAACCGGGCGACUUGAGUGCAGAAGAGGACAGCGGAACUCCAGGUGUAGCGGUGGAAUGCGUAGAUAUAUGGAAGAACACCAGUGGCGAAGGCGGCUGUCUGGUCUGCAACUGACGCUGAGGCUCGAAAGCAUGGGUAGCGAACAGGAUUAGAUACCCUGGUAGUC
This 465-nucleotide ribosomal RNA is filed under the name uncultured bacterium. RNAcentral describes it as "partial 16S ribosomal RNA". It matches the Rfam family "Bacterial small subunit ribosomal RNA", at positions 338 to 795 of the family's 1533-position model. The record is from RNAcentral.